AAGGCAGCUAUGCAAAUGGAAAAUUGCAGUGUUGUGUGAUAGCGACCUUGCUCUGGGUAAGUGCUGGGCUCUGGAUGAGCCAUGAAGCCAAAGGACUUCCAGAAGAAGAAACAAAUGAGGCCAAAGGCACAUGAGCUAGGAAGAGACUGGACUUGGAUCUCAGAUCCACCUGAGUUGAGGCAAAGCUAGCGUGGACGCCUUCCAUCCUGAUUUUCUGGCAGUUUCAACAUGACUGCCACCUCAUAAUCCAAGACAGCAGGUAAGACCAAGCCUGCGUCCCAGCCUGUGGAAGGGAAGACGCAUCAAGGGAGGCACCAGCUUUCUCUAAGUUACACACAGAUUGUUGCUUGUAGCUUUUGACUAGAAAUUAGGCACUUAGUGAGAGUCAGCAGCAAGUGAGUCUGAGAAGUAAUGAGAAUUCAUGGAGCCAACUAUUCAUGGAGGCUGUUUCUAAGGAAGGAAGAUAAGGCACCCGAAGAGCCAUGGUCUCUGUCAUCGGAAUCCCUCUAAGAACCGAGGUGAGGUAAAUUCCUCUCAGAGCUGGACAUAUAAUUAAUCAUCCCAGUUAGGAUGCCUGGUGAGACCAAAAGUACCAAAACGGCUGAGCAGGUAUGAGCUGACUUGGAGUGGUUCCAGGACCUCCCUGUGAAUGGUGGAGUAUAAAGUCACCUCAAUAUAGAGGUCUCCUCUGUGAGUGGGUCGGUGAAGGUUGUUCCUACUGUAAACCCAGGGAAGAUGGCUUAGCCUUCCUCCUGGGGUACAUGUAUGCUCACCCUACACCCAACCCCAGCACAGAGCUGAAUGCUCUUUUUCAGAAGUACCAGUAUCUUCGCCUUAGGCACAUGUCUUCAAAGGCCAGCGGCACUGUCUACUGACUGCUUUGUACAUGGUAACUGUUUAACUUAUCCCCGAGUCUUUCUGCAGCCUUCGGAGUCCUGCAAGGAAGGAAGUAUGACCAUGUGCAACUGUGGUGAGCCCAUGGAGGCUUAGGGAGAUCAGGAGAUCUGCCCAAAGUCACUCCACAAAUAUCAGGAUCUGGUGCCCGCUGAGCUCUGCUUUGGUCACAGUUCUCUCAGACUCUGUCCCCAGUUUGGGGGGACACUCACUGCUAGCCUGUCUUCCCCAGGGUAUGAGCUAGGCUGCCUCAUCACUUGGGAAACCAUCUUGCACUUUCCAGGGGAUGCUCCUCUGAGUUAAAUCAAAUCUCCUCGGGGCUCCACACCCUCCCCUCUCCCCUGUACCAUUCUUCACGAGCCAUCAGGGUUUCUAUUCCUGUGCAGCCUCCUAGAUUUAUCCUUAGGUUCAUCGUGGACCUCAACCAACUGGACCAUCUCUGUGGCCUUCCCCAGGGGAGAAAUCAAGCAUGAGACAUGAACAAGGACCAAGAAUACAGGAGCAGAGAGGAAACUAAUUGAGGGUUGAUUCUGAUGAAUAAAUGCCUGGUCGCCGCCUUGAGAAAUGGACCACGCCGGCAGAUGGCUGGGGCUUGAGAAACGGUCACGGCCUUCCGAGGGGCCCAUCAAUAAUAGAUCGGCUCCAGCCCUGGGAGAGGGAAGCGUUUCUGCGGCAGGACGAUUUGUGUCAUUUUCUUCUAUGUGGUGACGGCGAUACAUAAUAUACCUCCUUCCUCAUGACAACGUCGUCUUCAUAAGACGGGUGAUGUGGGAUUCCUCCACCUCGAGGCCUGUGAUGUCAUGUUGGUAGCUUGCCAUUGGCCAUGGCAGCAACAUUUACACCAAAGGUAUUGGCAAAUGCUGCUAGGCAGCACUCCCCUCCCCCAAGCUGGUUGCUUAACUUUCAAGAGCACACA
This 1810-nucleotide small RNA is filed under the name Rattus norvegicus (Norway rat). Its description in RNAcentral is "uncharacterized LOC108349630". The record is from RNAcentral. Lineage: Eukaryota; Metazoa; Chordata; Mammalia; Rodentia; Muridae.